RNAcentral lists this ribosomal RNA (253 nucleotides) under uncultured bacterium. RNAcentral describes it as "partial 16S ribosomal RNA". It matches the Rfam family "Bacterial small subunit ribosomal RNA", at positions 524 to 776 of the family's 1533-position model. The record is from RNAcentral.
UACGUAGGGAGCAAGCGUUGUCCGGAUUCACUGGGUGUAAAGGGUGCGCAGGCGGAUUGGCAAGUCAGAGGUGAAAUCUCACGGCUCAACCGUGAAACUGCCUUUGAUACUGCUGAUCUUGAGUUAGGGAGAGGUUGAUGGAAUUCUAGGUGUAGCGGUGAAAUGCGUAGAUAUCUAGAAGAACACCAGUGGCGAAGGCGGUCAACUGGCCCUAAACUGACGCUCAUGCACGAAAACGUGGGGAUCAAACAGG